Molecule: ribosomal RNA, 304 nt
Filed under: uncultured bacterium
Lineage: Bacteria
Description: partial 16S ribosomal RNA
Rfam family: Bacterial small subunit ribosomal RNA
Source: RNAcentral
CAGCAGCAGCCGCGGGAAUACGGAGGGGGCUAGCGUUGUUCGGAAUUACUGGGCGUAAAGCGCACGUAGGCGGCUUUGUAAGUUAGAGGUGAAAGCCCGGAGCUCAACUCCGGAAUUGCCUUUAAGACUGCAGAGCUAGCAGGUGAGAGAGGUGAGUGGAAUUCCGAGUGUAGAGGUGAAAUUCGUAGAUAUUCGGAAGAACACCAGUGGCGAAAGCGGCUCACUGGCUCAUACUGGACGCUGAGGUGCGAAAGCGUGGGGAGCAAACAGGAUUAGAUACCCCGGUAGUCCCUGUCUCUUAUAC